AUGUGUGAUUACACGGGCCGGAAGGAUGAUCCUCUUUGGCACAGCCCCGACGACUUACCUGAGGACGUCGUUGACGACAUGACCAAGUCCCUUCUAAACGAGAGCUUAGCAGAUUGCGAGAGGACAGGCUUAAGUCCCUUCUGCAAAGCUAACUCGGCUCCGGCGGCUAAUGAUAUGUUCUGGAAGGUCAGGUAUGACCAUGAGGCUACUAAAAAAGCCAGGAAGGUUAAAAAAGCCGCCAGGAGAGCCGCUCCCCGCAAGAAGGGGAGUAAGCCUAGCGCCUCAGACCUGCUUCAGUUGGAUGACACCUCCGAGUCAGAGGAUGAUACCGGAGCGAGUAACCCGGUGAUUGAAGAGAUUCAUGAGAGCCGGAGGCAAACCCGGACCAACAAGGAAGCAGACCUCUCCUCCGGCUUACCUGAAGCAUCAAGGAAGCGCCGGACCGAGGAAACUUCACCUUCCUCCGGGGACUCCAUGCAAUCUAACUUGCCGGCUUUCAAGACCGCUCCCGGUGCACAAGCAAAGCUUUGCAAGAGGGCAAAGAAAAGUAACCCAGUCGAAGAGCCGGUCUUGACUGAACCCAACACCUCUGCCUCUGAGCUGCCGUCUGCACCAGCUCCAGAAACCACCGCUCCAACUGAAGAACAAGCCAUGGAGGGUUCUGACAACCCGGAGAUUCCCAGCCUAGCUCAACCGGCCGAUGACCCGGAUGUGGUGAUUACCCGGACCGAAUAUGUUGAGCCGGGAAGACCCACUAUGCUGGCUAGAUGCUCUGCUAAGGAAGAACUGAUGGAGCGCCGCAGGGCCAGACUGGAUAUCACUGACUAUGCUAACUUGAGCAUUGGAGAUAUUGUUGCUAGUUAUAUUGGUCAAGUGCACAACAGCCGGGACCUGGAAAUUGACAUGGUGAAGCAGAUACAGCAAAAAUCUAAGGCUGCCUGCAAGAAACUUGAAUCGGAAAUCUCUGAUCUGAAGACCCGCCUGAAGACUCAGGAAAAUGAGACCCAGAAAGCCAAUGCCAAAUUUGAGUUCAGUGUCUCUGCACAAGAAAAACUGAAGAAAAAAAUUUGA
Molecule: ribosomal RNA, 1071 nt
Filed under: Triticum aestivum (bread wheat)
Lineage: Eukaryota; Viridiplantae; Streptophyta; Magnoliopsida; Poales; Poaceae
Description: partial small subunit ribosomal RNA
Source: RNAcentral